RNAcentral lists this ribosomal RNA (424 nucleotides) under uncultured bacterium. RNAcentral describes it as "partial 16S ribosomal RNA". It matches the Rfam family "Bacterial small subunit ribosomal RNA", at positions 360 to 776 of the family's 1533-position model. The record is from RNAcentral.
AAUUUUGGACAAUGGGGGAAACCCUGACCCAGCCAUCCCGCGCGUAUGAUGAAGGCCUUCGGGUCGUAAAGUACUUUUGUCAGAGAAGAAAAGGUAUCUCCUAAUACGAGAUACUGCUGACGGUAUCUUCAGAAUAAGCACCGCCUAACUACGUGCCAGCCGCCGAGGUAAUACGUAGGGUGCAAGCGUUAACCGGAAUUACCGGGCGUAAAGCGUGUGUAGGCGGUUCGGAAAGAAAGAUGUGAAAUCCCAGGGCUCAACCUUGGAACUGCAUUUUUAACUGCCGAGCUAGAGUAUGUCAGAGGGGGGUAGAAUGCCACGUGUAGCAGUGAAAUGCGAAGAUAUGUGGAAGAAUACCGAUGGCGAAGGCAGCCCCCUGGGAUAAUACUGACGCUCAGACACGAAAGCGUGGGGAGCAAACAGG